Molecule: unclassified non-coding RNA, 321 nt
Filed under: Chitinasiproducens palmae
Lineage: Bacteria; Pseudomonadati; Pseudomonadota; Betaproteobacteria; Burkholderiales; Burkholderiaceae
Description: Burkholderia sp. JS23 Long range pseudoknot
Source: RNAcentral
ACCGACGACGGCGACUACGGCGUGAAGCUGCGCAACCUGACGCGCUUCCUCGAGGAAGGCGACAAGGCGAAGAUCACGCUGCGCUUCCGGGGCCGCGAAAUGGCUCACCAGGAAAUCGGCAUGCGGAUGCUUGAGCGCCUGCGGACCGAUCUGGAAGAGUACGGCCAGGUCGAGCAGAUGCCAAAGAUGGAAGGCCGGCAGAUGGUGAUGGUGAUGGGGCCGAAAAAGCGCAAGUAGGGCUGAACGGUCGUGCGCAAGAAUUCGACGGACAUCGAGCCGUCGAAACGGCAGCCGGAACGGCUGUCGCAAAUAAGUGCGAGA